Molecule: ribosomal RNA, 497 nt
Filed under: uncultured bacterium
Lineage: Bacteria
Description: partial 16S ribosomal RNA
Rfam family: Bacterial small subunit ribosomal RNA
Source: RNAcentral
GAUGAACGCUGGCGGCGUGCCUAAUACAUGCAAGUCGAGCGAACAGACGAGGAGUUUGCUCCUCUGACGUUAGCGACGGACGGGUGAGUAACACGUGGAUAACCUACCUAUAAGACUGGGAUAACUUCGGGAAAGCGGAGCUAACACCGGAUAAUAUAUUGAACCGCAUGGUUCAAUAGUGAAAGACGGUUUUGCUGUCACUUAUAGAUGGAUCCGCGCCGCAUUAGCUAGUUGGUAAGGUAACGGCUUACCAAGGCGACGAUGCGUAGCCGACCUGAGAGGGUGAUCGGCCACACUGGAACUGAGACACGGUCCAGACUCCUACGGGAGGCAGCAGUAGGGAAUCUUCCGCAAUGGGCGAAAGCCUGACGGAGCAACGCCGCGUGAGUGAUGAAGGUCUUCGGAUCGUAAAACUCUGUUAUUAGGGAAGAACAAAUGUGUAAGUAACUAUGCACGUCUUGACGGUACCUAAUCAGAAAGCCACGGCUAACUACGUG